GACGAACGCUGGCGGCGUGCUUAACACAUGCAAGUCGAACGAAGUGGCGAACGGGUGAGUAACGCGUAAUCAACCUGCCCUUCAGAGGGGGACAACAGUUGGAAACGACUGCUAAUACCGCAUACUGAAGGAGGGGAUUGCGUCUGAUUAGCUAGUUGGAGGGGUAACGGCCCACCAAGGCGAUGAUCAGUAGCCGGGUUGUGAGGAUGAACGGGCACAUUGGGACUGGGACACGGCCCAGACUCCUACGGGAGGCAGCAGGGGGGAAUCUUCCGCAAUGGAGGAAAGUCUGACGGAGCAACGCCGGUGGGGGGAUGCCGGCCUUCGGGUUGUAAAUCUCUGUUAAUCGGGACGCGGUACCGGAAUAGAAAGCCACGGCUAACUACGUGCCAGCAGCCGCGGUAAUAC
RNAcentral lists this ribosomal RNA (408 nucleotides) under uncultured bacterium. RNAcentral describes it as "partial 16S ribosomal RNA". It matches the Rfam family "Bacterial small subunit ribosomal RNA", at positions 28 to 526 of the family's 1533-position model. The record is from RNAcentral.